RNAcentral lists this ribosomal RNA (253 nucleotides) under uncultured bacterium. RNAcentral's name for it is "partial 16S ribosomal RNA". It matches the Rfam family "Bacterial small subunit ribosomal RNA", at positions 524 to 776 of the family's 1533-position model. The record is from RNAcentral.
UACGUAGGAUGCGAGCGUUGUCCGGAAUUAUUGGGCGUAAAGCGCACGUAGGCGGUUUCUUAAGCUUGGUCUUAAAGACCGGGGCUCAACCCCGGGAAUGGAUCGAUAACUGGGAGACUGGAGGACGGCAGAGGAAAGUGGAAUUCCGAGUGUAGCGGUGAAAUGCGUAGAGAUCGGAAAGAACACCAACGGCGAAAGCACUCUGCUGGGCCGACACUGACACUGAGAGACGAAAGCUAGGGGAGCGAAUGGG